RNAcentral lists this long non-coding RNA (358 nucleotides) under Rattus norvegicus (Norway rat). RNAcentral's name for it is "long non-coding RNA NONRATT031443". The record is from RNAcentral. Lineage: Eukaryota; Metazoa; Chordata; Mammalia; Rodentia; Muridae.
CCAGGAUUUAAUCAAGGAAAGGAGGCCAUCAGGAAAAAGACAAUCAGCUUUUGCAGAAUCCUCCCAGUGCACUUAGAGGCUCGGUCACCCUAUUCUUUAACAGCAACAGGAGGCAGAGAACAGAUCAAAAGACCAGCUUCCUUCAGAGGGUAUUUGCAGGUAUGACAGUCUCCCUCCUUUGUUUCAGUCUCAGCUUGUUUCUAGGGAAUAGUGUUUUUCUCAGUGUCAAAGAGAUAGAUGGUAAGUGGCCCACCUAGGAUUUAAAUACCAGUGUAGCUGCUUCAAGAGCUCCCCACCCCCAACUGUAACACACAUCUGAACCCCUUGAAGAUCUGACCAAACACUGCUGACUCACACU